AUGUCUCGCCACUUAGGAAUAGACAUGCUACAUGUUGUGUGUCGGUCAGUCAUGCAACAUAUACAUACCAUAUUUUGUGUACAAAUGAAGAUGCCACUCGAUCAAUGAUAUGAGAACAGUGUGUCGAGUGCAGAGAAUUCUACAGGAAUAGAAGAAUUUGCAACUUUGGCGCAAAACCCUACAUGAUAUAGAUAGAAACAAACAUUGUGCCAAACUAUAAAUAAUCUGGUAACAAGGCAAACCAAACUCAACAAAAUGAUAUGGGCAUGCUAUAGUCUAUGGAAUAAUGGGAUCAAUGCAAUGGGAUCAUAAUGCAUAUUACAAUGAGAAAAGGAAACUAAACCAAUUAUAAAAGCCUUGUAAAAAAUUCCAUCCAUAUAGCCAUGUAAGCAUUACUUCGGAUAUGUUAGACGUGAUGGCACAUCCCAUCUCCUGCCUAGUUGUAGAUCCUAUCUUGAUUAGUCUCCAAGGCCCUUGUUAUCCUUCUUUGAUAUCAGUGCAAUACACGCGCCACUAAGGCUAUUGUCCUCGGGGAGGCCUGAACCUAUAUAACCCGUGGUGUUGUCCUGAUAGACCACUACAUGAUUCCGUCGCGUUCCUACUUCUUCGACAUAUCGUUGGAUCAACAAUUUACCAAUACUCAGUAGAAUUGAUUAAUUCCAGCUAGCAUAGGAAUGAUUGACAAAAAAUAAUGUAGAAGAUUUAAGCCAAAAACAUCAAUGUUACGUGCAAUCUAUUUUAAUGAUUUACCUUGAACAACCAAUGAGUCUGAUCUUGGGAGAAAAUAUUCAGCAUACUAGAAUAAAUAGGAAUGAGUUUAUUGCCAUGAAUGUAUCCUAAUAAUAAUGUGCUUGGAUAUGGGAGAAAUCAUUUAUCAUGAAAGAACAAAUAUGGAAGACAUUGAUUGCGACCAAUUUUAGUGGCCCUCUAUAUAAACACAAGAAACGACAUCACUAGUUCUAUAACAUUUUACCGGAAGAACUAUACAACAGAAGGAGUGUGUAGCUCUUAUCCAUGGCUUUUGGAAGCAAAAUCACAUGGGUACUAGGCAUAGUGGCUUUGUUGGCCAUCUUAACCACUGCCCAAUCAUAUGAUACAUCAGCUCGUAUAGGGAAUUGUGAUGAUACGCCGAAUUGCUCAGAUGGUAAAUGCAAGGAUACAUGUGCUAGCCAAGGUUACGAGGCAAAAGCGAGUUCUUGCGUAAAACAAUUUGGAAGGACAUUCUGUUGCUGUAGCAAGGAUGGGUCAGAAUAAUGUUCUUACAAGCUCGUAUGUGCAAGCAACGAAGAAGAACAAUAUGUAUCUUCUCAUGAUAUAAUAAAUGCAAUAAUUUACUACUA
Long non-coding RNA from Aegilops tauschii subsp. strangulata, 1340 nucleotides. RefSeq lists it as uncharacterized. NCBI's taxonomy places the organism in Eukaryota, Viridiplantae, Streptophyta, Magnoliopsida, Poales, Poaceae. The record is from RefSeq and is a predicted model, not a curated record.